This 465-nucleotide ribosomal RNA is filed under the name uncultured bacterium. Its description in RNAcentral is "partial 16S ribosomal RNA". It matches the Rfam family "Bacterial small subunit ribosomal RNA", at positions 338 to 795 of the family's 1533-position model. The record is from RNAcentral.
CCUACGGGGGGCAGCAGUAGGGAAUCUUCCACAAUGGGCGAAAGCCUGAUGGAGCAACGCCGCGUGGGUGAAGAAGGUCUUCGGAUCGUAAAACCCUGUUGUUAGAGAAGAAAGUGCGUGAGAGUAACUGUUCACGUUUCGACGGUAUCUAACCAGAAAGCCACGGCUAACUACGUGCCAGCAGCCGCGGUAAUACGUAGGUGGCAAGCGUUAUCCGGAUUUAUUGGGCGUAAAGGGAACGCAGGCGGUCUUUUAAGUCUGAUGUGAAAGCCUUCGGCUUAACCGGAGUAGUGCAUUGGAAACUGGGAGACUGGAGUGCAGAAGAGGAGAGUGGAACUCCAUGUGUAGCGGUGAAAUGCGUAGAUAUAUGGAAGAACACCAGUGGCGAAAGCGGCUCUCUGGUCUGUAACUGACAUUGAUGCUCGAAAGUGUGGGUAUCAAACAGGAUUAGAUACCCGAGUAGUC